UGCAGUUAAUUAUUUGUCAUGCUAUACAUGCAAUUGGACGACUGCUUGAAGCCGUGGGCUGCGUCCAAAACCACGUACUUACCUGCUAUAUAGUAGCUGAGAUACAUGUAUUUCACCUACUAUAUGCAUGUAUUUCACCUACUAUUUAGUAGGUGAAAUACUUGUAUAUAGCAGGUGAAAUACAUGUAUAUAGUAGGUGAAAUACAAGUUUUUUGGCUACGAUAUAGUAGGUGAAAUACUUGUAUAUAGUAGAAUAAGUGUAUAUAGUAGGUAAAAUACAUGAAUAUAGUAGGUGAAAUACAUGUAUAUAGUAGGUGAAAUACAUGUAAGUAGUAGGUGAAAUACAUGUAUAUAGUAGAAUACGUGUAUAUAGUAGGUGAAAUACACGUAUUUCGGCUACGAUAUAGUAGGUGAAAUACAUGUAUAUAGUAGAAUACAUGUAUAUAGUAGGUACAAUACAUGUAUAUAGUAGAAUAUGUGUAUAUAGUAGGUGAAAGACAUGUAUAUAGUAGGUGAAAUACACGUAUUUCGGCUACGAUAUAGUAGGUGAAAUACAUGUAUAUAGUAGAAUACGUGUAUAUAGUAGGUGAAAUAUAUGUAAGCAAUAGGUGAAAUACAUGCAUAUAGUAGGUGUAACACACGUAUUUCAGCUACGAUAUAGUAGGUGAAAUACUUGUAUAUAGUAGAAUACGUGUAUAUAGUAGGUGAAAUACAUGUAUAUAGUAGGUGAAACACACGUAUUUCAGCUACGAUAUAGUAGGUGAAAUACAUGUAUAUAGUAGGUGAAAUACAUGUAUAUGGUAGAAUACGUGUAUAUAGUAUGUGAAAUACAUGUAUAUAGUAGGUGAAAUACACGUAUUUCGGCUACGAUAUAGUAGGUGAAAUACAUGUAUAUGGUAGAAUACAUGUAUAUAGUAGGUAAAAUACAUGUAUAUAGUAGAAUACGUGUAUAUAGUAGAUGAAAUACAUGUAUAUAGUAGGUGAAAUACACGUAUUUCGGCUACGAUAUAGUAGGUGAAAUACAUGUAUAUGGUAGAAUACAUGUAUAUAGUAGGUGAAAUACAUGUAUAUAGUAGGUGAAAUACUUGUAUAUAGUAGGUGAAAUAAAUGUAUAUAGUAGGUGAAUACAUGUAUAUAGUAGGUGAAAUACCUGUAUAUAGUAGAAUACGUGUAUAUAGUAGGUGAAAUACACGUAUAUGGUAAAAUACAUGUAUAUAGUAGGUGAAAUACAUGUAUAUAGUAGGUGAAAUACAUGUAUAUAGUAGAAUACGUGUAUAUAGUAGGUGAAAUACAUGUAUAUAGUAGGUGAAAUACAUGUAUAUAGUAGAAUACAUGUAUAUAGUAGGUGAAAUACAUGUAUAUA
Molecule: long non-coding RNA, 1363 nt
Organism: Ictalurus punctatus (channel catfish)
Lineage: Eukaryota; Metazoa; Chordata; Actinopteri; Siluriformes; Ictaluridae
Source: Ensembl